Molecule: ribosomal RNA, 504 nt
Filed under: uncultured Catonella sp.
Lineage: Bacteria; Bacillati; Bacillota; Clostridia; Lachnospirales; Lachnospiraceae
Description: partial 16S ribosomal RNA
Source: RNAcentral
CACGUAGUUAGCCGGGGCUUCUUAGUCAGGUACCGUCAUCAUCUUCCCUGCUGAUAGAGCUUUACAUACCGAAAUACUUCUUCACUCACGCGGCGUCGCUGCAUCAGAGUUUCCUCCAUUGUGCAAUAUCCCCCACGGCUGCCUCCCGUAGGAGUUUGGGCCGUGUCUCAGUCCCAAUGUGGCCGUCCGACCUCUCAGUCCGGCUACCGAUCGUCGCUUUGGUAGGCUUUUUACCCCUGCCAACUGGCUAAUCGGACGCGGGCCCAUCCUAUACCUGAUUGCUCAUUUCCCGAUCAAAUCAUGCGAUUUAACCGACUUAUGCGGUCUUACCAGCCGUUUCCAGCUGCUAUCCCCCUGUAUAGGGCAGGUUGCCCACGCGUUACUCACCCGUCCGCCGCUAAGAAUUACAGGCUUCCAUACCGAAAACUUCCGUCCGUACUACUCGUUCGACUUGCAUGUGUUAGGCACGCCGCCAGCGUCAUCCUGAGCAGGAUACAAACUCUU